AGACCAGCUCAGAGUACGGAGAGCUGGAGGCACAGUGGCUGCAGCUCCAGCCUCAGAGCCUGCGCCUCCAAGUGGCCAGGGCGGCAUUGGGAGGGAGGCGGAGGGAGGAGGGGGGCGGGAGGCGAGAGGCAGGAGGGGAACUGGGUCCAGGUUUUGCCAGCAGCCCUCCUGGCAGCCAUUCAGAGCUCCUGCCCCUGCUGGCGCGGCAGCAGAAGCGGCGGGAGCGGCUGCGGCGGCAGAGGGGGGCGCGGCGGUGGCAGAGGCGCGCCGGCAGAGGCGCACAGGGCGGUGGCGGCAGAGGGAGGCGCGGCGGCCGAGCCGUUAGAGGCGGCGGCUGUGUCUGAGCCGUUAGCGGUAGCGGCAGCGGCUGAGCCGGUAGAGGCGGGGGCCAUGGCGGUGGAGCCGUUAGAGGCGGCCGCGGCGGCCGAGCCGGUAGAGCCGGCGGCGGCGGCCGCGGCGGCCGCAGCGGUGACGUUAGCGAGCACAGGAUCCGGAGCUGGAGCCCAGCAAGAACCUGCGGCAGGUCCUUGUUCCCCUAAGCCAGGCCCCGCUUCCCAGCCGUGCCCAGCCCGCGCCGGCUGCCUGCUGAGUCUGGGAGCCUCACGCUGUGCCCUCCUCCAGCCGCGCCAGGCUUCCCUGCGGUGAUGAGGGGCACCGCGAACGGUGCGGUUGGAGCAGAGCGCGCAGCGGAGGCUGCGCCCAGAGAGGAGCUCACUUCUCCGCCCCACCGGGAGGCAGCGGCUGGGACGACUCUGAGAGCCGGUAGGUGUUGGGCCAUGGCCCUCCCCCGACCCCGCUGGAGGCCGGUUCCCUCCCCUUCCCUUCCUACCUACCUCUCCUCCCUCCGGGCCUGGUGGGUGGCCAGGGCCGGAGUUCGCUGCAAGUCGGCAGAACGUUUGGCGGCGCAGGCUCCCCAGAAGUUCAGGUGCAGAGAACCAGGGAUGGGAAAGGAGGAGUCUGGGUUUGGGUGGGGCAGGGGGCACGGCGAGUUCCGGGGAUCACUCGGUGGCCUCUGCUGUACUUCAGUUUCCCCAAGCUGCAGUCAGCUAGGUGGCAGAUCACUGAGUUGA
This 1070-nucleotide long non-coding RNA is filed under the name Sus scrofa (pig). Its description in RNAcentral is "lncRNA (ENSSSCG00040000037.1)". The record is from RNAcentral. Lineage: Eukaryota; Metazoa; Chordata; Mammalia; Artiodactyla; Suidae.